UCUUCCAACGUUUAACCAAAAAACAAUCCCUAAUUCUUUUUACGAGAGAAAUGAAAGCAGUAAGAAGAAUUGCUCAUCAGGAGAAAUGGAAUAUCUAAUGAUGGAGAGCUUAGCCAUGAAUAUGAUCGACAUUUCAUUUUGAAGAUUUAUAUAUAUUUCUUGUAUGUAAAGAACAAGCCUUUAUUUUCUCUUACCUAAUUCAAUGAGAAAUACAGCAAUAGUUUCACUUGUUAAGAUCAGAGGCUCACUGUACUUUGGCACUUCAUAAAUUACUUUUAAAAAAUUAUAUUUGUACUCA
Capsicum annuum is the source of this 298-nucleotide long non-coding RNA. RefSeq lists it as uncharacterized. The transcript has 2 exons. Lineage: Eukaryota; Viridiplantae; Streptophyta; Magnoliopsida; Solanales; Solanaceae. The record is from RefSeq and is a predicted model, not a curated record.